This is a long non-coding RNA of Myotis davidii, 952 nucleotides long. RefSeq lists it as uncharacterized. The record is from RefSeq and is a predicted model, not a curated record. Lineage: Eukaryota; Metazoa; Chordata; Mammalia; Chiroptera; Vespertilionidae. The transcript is spliced from 4 exons.
AUGUAGGAAUCUGGUCCCGGGCUUUUGGUUAUUCAGGGUUUUUGUUUUUUUAUUACUAGUUCAAUCUCAUUACUAAUAGGUUUCUUCAGAUUUUCUGUUUCUUCCUGGCUUAGUCUUGGAAUGUUGUAUACUUCUAGAAAUUUGUCCAUUGCUAGUAGAUUGUCCAAUUUCUUGACAUAAUUAUUCAUAAUUUUUAUUGUAUGUAUGGCAAGUCUACUAUAUACUGUAAUGCAGAUACAGAGCUACAAGUUCACAACUAUUCAUACAAGUAUACAAAAGGCUACAACUUACACACACUUUACUUGAUUGAAAGCUUUCUUAUGAUACAUAGAAUGUUUUACAUCCUUGAUCUUAACUUUGUUCACACUGACUUCAGGGAGUUGUAUUUGGGUUUCCAGGCUGGCGUCUCUGCUCAAUUGCUGCUGUUGCCGUUUGUUUUCUUUCAGGAUCAAGGUGGGUAGUUUCAUAUAUCUUAAUUUUCUUCAGAUCUUUAGUAUUACCUUAUUAUACCUACAAUGGAACGAGCAUCCUAAAGCUACCAAAAUAAAUCCUCCAACUCCCAACACCAUAUGAUCUCCUAGUUCUACUAGUUAACAAAAAAUGUCCAAGACCAGCCACAACAGAUCCUUAUGAACCAUAUAAGACUGUGUCCCAGGCACAAGGAAUAUUCUGAACAUCUAAAAUCCCUAGAAGCUUAAAGGGCUUCCCCAUCCGGGGCUUGCAGCUGGGUAGCAUGGGGACAGCCGAUGCCUCUAAUCCUGCCCUGCUCAUGCCCAGGGCUGCCUUCAUAGUAUUCUUUAAUGACCCUAUUUCUGUGAUAUUUCUCUCUUAUUUCAUUUCUGAUUCUAUUUACUUAGACUCUUUUUCCUUGGUGUAAGUCUUGCUAGAGGUUUGUCAAUUUUAUGUAUCCUUUCAAAAAAACAGCUCUUAAUUUGAUUUUUUUAUAGUUCUU